GCCCGUCUAGCUCAGUCCCAUUUUCAGCACGAGACUCUUAAUCUCGGGGUCACGUGGGUUCGAGCCCCACGUUGGGCG
Trichonephila inaurata madagascariensis is the source of this 78-nucleotide non-coding RNA. NCBI's taxonomy places the organism in Eukaryota, Metazoa, Arthropoda, Arachnida, Araneae, Nephilidae. The record is from the annotation of a GenBank genome assembly.